Molecule: unclassified non-coding RNA, 236 nt
Filed under: plant metagenome
Description: partial contains small subunit ribosomal RNA, internal transcribed spacer 1, and 5.8S ribosomal RNA
Source: RNAcentral
UUUCCGUAGGCGAACCUGCGGAAGGAUCAUUACUGAGUGAGGGCCCCUCGGGGUCCAACCUCCCACCCGUGUUUAACGAACCUUGUUGCUUCGGCGGGCCCGCCUCACGGCCGCCGGGGGGCAUUUGCCCCCGGGCCCGCGCCCGCCGAAGCCACCUGUGAACGCUGUCUGAAGUAUGCAGUCUGAGACAAUUAUUAAAUUAAUUAAAACUUUCAACAACGGAUCUCUUGGUUCCG